Molecule: ribosomal RNA, 359 nt
Filed under: uncultured Prevotella sp.
Lineage: Bacteria; Pseudomonadati; Bacteroidota; Bacteroidia; Bacteroidales; Prevotellaceae
Description: bacterial SSU rRNA
Rfam family: Bacterial small subunit ribosomal RNA
Source: RNAcentral
UGAGGGAAUAUUUGGGGUCAAUGGGCGAGAGCCUGAACCAGCCAAGUAGCGUGCAGGAUGACGGCCCUAUGGGUUGUAAACUGCUUUUAUAAGGGAAUAAAGUGGGUCUCGUGAGACUUUUUGCAUGUACCUUAUGAAUAAGGACCGGCUAAUUCCGUGCCAGCAGCCGCGGUAAUACGGAAGGUCCGGGCGCUAUCCGGAUUUAUUGGGUUUAAAGGGAGCGUAGGCCGGAGAUUAAGCGUGUUGUGAAAUGUAGUGGCUCAACCUCUGCACUGCAGCGCGAACUGGUCUUCUUGAGUACGCACAACGUGGGCGGAAUUCGUGGUGUAGCGGUGAAAUGCUUAGAUAUCACGAAGAAC